RNAcentral lists this long non-coding RNA (411 nucleotides) under Mytilus galloprovincialis (Mediterranean mussel). The record is from RNAcentral. Lineage: Eukaryota; Metazoa; Mollusca; Bivalvia; Mytilida; Mytilidae.
UUUUACAAAGUACUUAAAUUCUCAUUAAGCAUGGUUAUACAUGUUUGCAUUGCGCCACACGUACAAAGAAGUUAGUAACACCACUUAAUAAACGCCGGUUUCUCCCACGAUCUGAAGAGCUGAAAACAUCGAUCAACGCGUUAUAAAAAAGAAUUAAUCGUUGACAAAUGUGAAAAUUAAAUGUACAUGCAUGUACGAUAAUACUACACUACAAAGUGUAUUCUUUGAAAUUUACGCUUGUCACAGAUCAACGUGUGCUUCACGCUAUCAAAGACCAAUGAACGGAGAGGGUUUUUGCUCAAAGAAUUCGCAUCUGAAGUCCGGUCAAAAUGGGAACAUUAAAUCCGAUGCCUCGUGUAGAGAGAGAGUGCCACGCUCUUUGCAUGUUAAGAACCCUUGCAACAACUGUUU